RNAcentral lists this non-coding RNA (45 nucleotides) under Azospira oryzae. Its description in RNAcentral is "Dechlorosoma suillum Guanidine-II sequence". It matches the Rfam family "Guanidine-II riboswitch aptamer (mini-ykkC)". From Rfam's summary of the family: Simpler in structure and has fewer highly conserved nucleotide positions than the ykkC-yxkD leader. Despite this each of its two stem-loop structures directly bind free guanidine. The record is from RNAcentral. Lineage: Bacteria; Pseudomonadati; Pseudomonadota; Betaproteobacteria; Rhodocyclales; Rhodocyclaceae.
CUGCGGGGACGACCCCGCCAGCGUCCGUACCUUGGGGACGGCCCC